AGUGAACGCUGGCGAUAGGCCUAACACAUGCAAGUCGAACGGCAGCACAGUAAGAGCUUGCUCUUACGGGUGGCGAGUGGCGGACGGGUGAGGAAUACAUCGGAAUCUACUUUUUCGCGGGGGAUAACGUAGGGAAACUUACGCUAAUACCGCAUACGACCUACGGGUGAAAGCAGGGGAUCUUCGGACCUUGCGCGAUUGAAUGAGCCGAUGUCGGAUUAGCUAGUUGGCGGGGUAAAGGCCCACCAAGGCGACGAUCCGUAGCUGGUCUGAGAGGAUGAUCAGCCACACUGGAACUGAGACACGGUCCAGACUCCUACGGGAGGCAGCAGUGGGGAAUAUUGGACAAUGGGCGCAAGCCUGAUCCAGCCAUACCGCGUGGGUGAAGAAGGCCUUCGGGUUGUAAAGCCCUUUUGUUGGGAAAGAAAAGCAGCAGGUUAAUACCCCGCUGUUCUGACGGUACCCAAAGAAUAAGCACCGGCUAACUUCGUG
This 492-nucleotide ribosomal RNA is filed under the name uncultured bacterium. RNAcentral describes it as "partial 16S ribosomal RNA". It matches the Rfam family "Bacterial small subunit ribosomal RNA", at positions 29 to 507 of the family's 1533-position model. The record is from RNAcentral.